GCUCUGGUAGCCGAACUGGUAUAGGCACCCGCCUUAGAAGCGGUAAUUUGUGGGUUCGAAUCCCACCUAGAGUA
Molecule: transfer RNA, 74 nt
Filed under: bacterium
Lineage: Bacteria
Description: tRNA-Leu
Rfam family: tRNA
About the family: Transfer RNA (tRNA) molecules are approximately 80 nucleotides in length.
Source: RNAcentral